This 485-nucleotide ribosomal RNA is filed under the name uncultured bacterium. Its description in RNAcentral is "bacterial SSU rRNA". It matches the Rfam family "Bacterial small subunit ribosomal RNA", at positions 28 to 514 of the family's 1533-position model. The record is from RNAcentral.
GAUGAACGCUGGCGGCGUGCUUAACACAUGCAAGUCGAACGAAGAUGCCGGGAGUGCUUGCACUUUGGCAGACUGAGUGGCGGACGGGUGAGUAACGCGUGGGUAACCUGCCUUAUACAGGGGGAUAACAGUUGGAAACGACUGCUAAUACCGCAUAAGCGCACGGUAUCGCAUGAUACAGUGUGAAAAACUCCGGUGGUAUAAGAUGGACCCGCGUCUGAUUAGCUUGUUGGUGAGGUAACGGCCCACCAAGGCGACGAUCAGUAGCCGGCCUGAGAGGGUGAACGGCCACAUUGGGACUGAGACACGGGCCCAAAACUCCUACGGGAGGCAGCAGUGGGGAAUAUUGCACAAUGGGGGAAACCCUGAUGCAGCGACGCCGCGUGAGUGAUGAAGUAUUUCGGUAUGUAAAAACUCUAAUCAGCCAGGGGAAGAUAAAUGAACGGUACCUGACUAAGAAGCACCGGCUAAAUACGUGCCAGCAG